Molecule: long non-coding RNA, 1258 nt
Organism: Cucumis sativus (cucumber)
Lineage: Eukaryota; Viridiplantae; Streptophyta; Magnoliopsida; Cucurbitales; Cucurbitaceae
Exons: 2
Source: RefSeq, a predicted model, not a curated record
GCCAUAGUAUAAGUCAAAUUAAAGUAAACAAUUCAAUUCUAAAUCAAAUUAGUUUACAAGAUGUUUAAGGAUAUUGAACAAUUUUGUGAUUAUGCUCAAAACAAUUUGUUACAAUGAUAUCAAUUUUAAUUACGGAUAGCCUAAAUGGGUUUUGAUUGGGGGGAGCAAUCGCCAAAUUUGAAGAAUAAGAAUAAAAGGUUUUAUGGCGCGAAGGCUCAUGACUGUUUCUUCCUCCAGUUUCAGGCAUCCAUUGUAGCGAUUUCAGUUCGUUUCUUCUCCGUCAAUGCUACGAUAGUCGAUUUCCGAGAGCUUGGUUUGAUUGUUCCAUCAUCUUACCACAAGAUGUUCAACCAAGAUUUUUGCGUAGAGAUGAGGGCUGUGGUGGCCAACCGACAGUGACAAAAAGAAAAGAAAAUGGUAGCCUCGUUGCACAAACAACACAACAAACAGGUACUUGCUUGUUAUAAAUUCAUCUUGUUAGUUAAUGCAUUACCCAUGUGAUAUUAAAACCAACGAAUAUUUUUCCAAAUUUCAUUCUGAUUCUGAUAAGUAUUUGUGUGUGUGUGUGUGGCUGUGGACCACUUAGCCUUACAAUUUGGCUCAGAUUUUAUCAAAAGUCUCUGGAGGAACUUGCCAUUUACUGUUUUAAGAGAGUUUAGAAAUCUAGUUAAUGAGUCCGUGAGUUAUAAUAGUUUGUUUCGAAGACAUAGACUAUUUUUAGAAUAUAGAGUAGAAAAGAGUAACCGUUACAAAAUUUGGGUCCAAAUGGCCUUUAUAACAUAUAAUUACUUAUAUGGCAUUUUCUAAGAGGAGGAGGUGGAGGAUAUGCUUUUUGGAGACAAUAUAAUUGGAGGAGAAGUUGACAUUUUAGUGCAGUUGCUGUAGAUUAUGACUUGAUCAUACAGGCAACGAAUAAUUAACAUUUUUCUUUGAUAUUUAUUUUGGAAUUUUCUGGAAUUCGUUUUCCAUGUGCUUUUCUUUAUCAAAACAAAAAUGGAAAAAGUUUAACCCUAUCAGAAUUUUUGUUCUGAUAAUUGGGAGUUGGACGUCUGCUCCUCUGGGAAAAUAUUAGGAACUUCUUAUGAACUUAUUAUUCUAUCUUAUUUUCUUUUAAUUUGCUCGUGUGGUGUUGAAAAAUUCAAACAUAUGAUCUCUUCAUACCCAUAUUCAUUAAUUGAUAUGUUAGACACUAACUUGCUACAUUCUCUAUGUAUGUAUUUUCCUUAAUUUGAAAUUACUCACCAUUUUGGAUCCGCCA